AGACUUUGAUCCUGGCUCAGAAUGAACGUUGGCGGCGUGGAUUAGGCAUGCAAGUCGAGCGAGAAUCUUUAGAUGGAAGCUUCNGCCGAAGUCUGAAGAGGACAGCGGCAAACGGCGUAGUAAUGCGUCGGUUACNUACCCUCAGGACCGGGAUAGCCAAGGGAAACUUUGGGUAAUACCGGAUAACAUCUCCGGAUCAAAUGGUGUGAUUCCGCCUGGGGAGCGGCUGACGUGGUAUUAGCUUGUUGGUGGGGUAACGGCCUACCAAGGCGAUGAUGCCUAGGGGGUGUUAGCGCAUGGCCCCCACGACUGGGACUGAGACACUGCCCAGACACCUACGGGUGGCUGCAGUCGAGAAUCUUCGGCAAUGGACGCAAGUCUGACCGAGCGACGCCGCGUGCGGGAUGAAGGCCCUUGGGUUGUAAACCGCUGUCAGAGGGGAUGAAGUUCGGAAGGCUAUCCUUCCGGUUUGACAAAGCCUCANAGGAAGCCCCGGCUAAGUACGUGCCANCAGCCNCGGUAANACCNUACUUGGGCGAACCGUUAUUCC
This 550-nucleotide ribosomal RNA is filed under the name uncultured Planctomycetota bacterium. RNAcentral describes it as "bacterial SSU rRNA". It matches the Rfam family "Bacterial small subunit ribosomal RNA", at positions 9 to 546 of the family's 1533-position model. Lineage: Bacteria; Pseudomonadati; Planctomycetota. The record is from RNAcentral.